RNAcentral lists this ribosomal RNA (495 nucleotides) under uncultured bacterium. RNAcentral's name for it is "partial 16S ribosomal RNA". It matches the Rfam family "Bacterial small subunit ribosomal RNA", at positions 28 to 507 of the family's 1533-position model. The record is from RNAcentral.
GAUGAACGCUGGCGGCGUGCCUAAUACAUGCAAGUAGAACGCUGAAGGAGGAGCUUGCUCUUCUGGAUGAGUUGCGAACGGGUGAGUAACGCGUAGGUAACCUGCCUGGUAGCGGGGGAUAACUAUUGGAAACGAUAGCUAAUACCGCAUGACAACAGUUAUUGCAUGAUAACUGUUUAAAAGGGGCAACUGCUCCACUACCAGAUGGACCUGCGUUGUAUUAGCUAGUUGGUGAGGUAACGGCUCACCAAGGCGACGAUACAUAGCCGACCUGAGAGGGGGAUCGGCCACACUGGGACUGAGACACGGCCCAGACUCCUACGGGAGGCAGCAGUAGGGAAUCUUCGGCAAUGGACGGAAGUCUGACCGAGCAACGCCGCGUGAGUGAAGAAGGGUUUCGGAUCGUAAAGCUCUGUUGUAAGAGAAGAACGAGUGUGAGAGUGGAAAGUUCACACUGUGACGGUAUCUGACCAGAAAGGGACGGCUAACUACGUG